RNAcentral lists this long non-coding RNA (920 nucleotides) under Homo sapiens (human). Its description in RNAcentral is "HSALNT0081877". The record is from RNAcentral. Lineage: Eukaryota; Metazoa; Chordata; Mammalia; Primates; Hominidae.
GUUGACUGGACUCCUUUUUUUUUUUUUCUUUUUGGCAACCUGGCCUGUUUUGGGAUUUUACUGCUUUUUAAAGUUUUAGUUUGAUUACGUGGCACUUAACAUGAGUGACUCCAUUUGGGUUGGCCUGUUGGGGCCCAGUGCAGGAAUUCAGUCCAAAACAAUGGUCUCUCCCAAGUUUUAUUUAACAGUGGCUACGCACCCCUCUCUUUUUAGCAUGCAUACCUUUUGCCAUGUGACUAAGCCAUCCUUCCUACCCGGUGUCACAGUCUAUUUCUUCACUCCCCAGAAUUUAAGAUGGUCUUGUGAAUUACUCUGGCUUACAAAAUGAGCCAGAAGAGGCCCUGAAAGCAGCAGAUCUCACCUGCAUUGGAGGAUGAGACGCCACAUGAAGAAGAAAGAAGACGCCACAGACAGCAGCGCAGUACCACCUUCCAGAGAUGUCCUAAAAACAUCCUGAGUUUCUUUGGCCUGCCAGAAAGUCACCUUCCUGACUCACCUGUAAGGCUGGGAACUCCAUAAUCCAGGUACCAGGCAGACUUUCCGGGAGGGCUUCAUAUGCAUUGGCUCCAUAAAGUUAACCUUAGUUCCUCAAAACUGUCUGUUCAUAUGUGAUUUUAUGUCUUAUUCUCAGUUGGAAAUGCAGAAAUCACCUGUCUUCUGCGUCGAUCAGGCUGGGAGCUGCAGACCGGAGCUGUUCCUAUUCGGCCAUCUUGGAAUGGACCCCCAUGUCUUAUUCUCAAAUAAAACAUUUUGGUCAAAGCCUUGAUUAUCUAAUCAAUUUUUAAAAUUAUGUUCUGUUACAAAAAGGACAGAUUCUUAUCGAACCCAUAUAAAAUAGUAUAUCACCAUUGAUACGGUUUGGAUCUGUGUCCCCACUCAAAUCUGAUGUUCAAUUGUAAUCUCCCAGUGUUAGAGGUGAG